CAGGCUGCCAAAGUCGCGCUUUUUGGUCAUUUGAAUUGAGCUUUCUCGGCUACCGUACACUUCCGCUUCAGUGAGCAGGUAGCUCUUCAGGUUGCUACCUUUUGGGCUUUCGAGUGAGUCAUGUCAACUUUUUCCAAGCUCUUAAACUUGCUGUAUGUAUGUAAAUGCGUACAUGUAAACAAUGACAUGAAAGGAGAAUCAUUGUUAGUCGUUACGUCAGUGGAACUCGCUAGCUCUCGUGAAACACGAGGUGGAGCUUUAGCUAGCACGCCCACAAGCAGCACUCACUCGGCUGUCAAUCAAUGGAUUAUCAAGGAAAGCGUUUGAUUUGAACGUUGGUUUUCUAUGUUUUUCCAUGUCCAACUUGAAGACUGGAGGCUCCACGUCGGCUGCUGGUCGUCCAUCUGCAUAUCUCGAAAGAGUAAACAUUCAAUCACAACAAAGUAACAAGUUGAAUGGCAGUCUGCUCAUUGCCGAGUGGUGAAGUGGUCGGCCAGCGGGACGAGGGGUCGGCCAGCGGGACGAGGGGUCGGCCAGCGGGACGAGGGGUCGGCCAGCGGGACGAGGGGUCGGCCAGUGGGACUCCAUGCCUGGACCUGAGACAAAAAGAGAUCGGUAAGUAAAAAGCUAAGCUUUUGUGCAGAAAAUGUUUUGGCAUGAAACAUACCAGUGCGCAAGUAGAGUUGUUUAUGGCACCGAGUAUUGCAAGCUGCAUGACGAGGAAGCCGAUUUUGUUCCUUGCUGCAUGACCCGGGAAGUCGAUUUUGUUCCUUGCUUCCUGUCAGAAA
Long non-coding RNA from Syngnathus acus (greater pipefish), 788 nucleotides. RefSeq lists it as uncharacterized. Lineage: Eukaryota; Metazoa; Chordata; Actinopteri; Syngnathiformes; Syngnathidae. The record is from RefSeq and is a predicted model, not a curated record. The transcript has 2 exons.